GGAGAUGUAGAGCUCAGGGGUACAGCAUGUGCUUAGCAUGCAUGAGGUCCUGGGUUCAAUCCCCAGUGCCUCCA
Camelus ferus (Wild Bactrian camel) is the source of this 74-nucleotide non-coding RNA. The record is from Rfam. Lineage: Eukaryota; Metazoa; Chordata; Mammalia; Artiodactyla; Camelidae.